This 258-nucleotide ribosomal RNA is filed under the name uncultured prokaryote. Its description in RNAcentral is "partial 16S ribosomal RNA". It matches the Rfam family "Bacterial small subunit ribosomal RNA", at positions 524 to 782 of the family's 1533-position model. The record is from RNAcentral.
UACGGAGGAUGCGAGCGUUAUCCGGAUUUAUUGGGUUUAAAGGGGCGUAGGCGGCUUUUUAAGUCAGCGGUGAAAUUUUGCAGCUUAACUGUAACAGUGCCGUUGAUGCUGGGGAGCUAGGAUUUGGUUGCUGUGGGUGGAAUGUGUGGUGUAGCGGUGAAAUGCUUAGAGAUCACACAGAAUAUCAAUUGCGAAGGCAGCUCACAAAGCCAAGAUUGACGCUGAGGCACGAAAGUGUGGGGAUCAAACAGGAUUAGA